CCUACGGGGGGCAGCAGUGAGGAAUAUUGGUCAAUGGGCGCGAGCCUGAACCAGCCAAGUCGCGUGAAGGAAGACGGUCCUAUGGAUUGUAAACUUCUUUUGUCGGGGAACAAAAUAAGCCACGCGUGGCGUUCCGAGGGUACCUGAAGAAAAAGCAUCGGCUAACUCCGUGCCAGCAGCCGCGGUAAUACGGAGGAUGCGAGCGUUAUCCGGAUUUAUUGGGUUUAAAGGGUGCGUAGGCGGGAGGUUAAGUCAGCGGUAAAAGUCAGGGGCUCAACCCCGUAGAGCCGUUGAAACUGGUUGUCUUGAGAGAUGGAGAGGUAUGCGGAAUGCGUGGUGUAGCGGUGAAAUGCUUAGAUAUCACGCAGAACUCCGAUUGCGAAGGCAGCAUACCGGCGGUCAACUGACGCUGAGGCACGAAAGUGUGGGUAUCGAACAGGAUUAGAUACCCUUGUAGUC
This 459-nucleotide ribosomal RNA is filed under the name uncultured bacterium. RNAcentral describes it as "partial 16S ribosomal RNA". It matches the Rfam family "Bacterial small subunit ribosomal RNA", at positions 338 to 795 of the family's 1533-position model. The record is from RNAcentral.